This 757-nucleotide ribosomal RNA is filed under the name Paenibacillus taichungensis. RNAcentral's name for it is "bacterial SSU rRNA". It matches the Rfam family "Bacterial small subunit ribosomal RNA", at positions 56 to 795 of the family's 1533-position model. Lineage: Bacteria; Bacillati; Bacillota; Bacilli; Caryophanales; Paenibacillaceae. The record is from RNAcentral.
UGCAAGUCGAGCGGACUUGAGAGAAGCUUGCUUCUCUGAUGGUUAGCGGCGGACGGGUGAGUAACACGUAGGCAACCUGCCCUCAAGCUUGGGACAACUACCGGAAACGGUAGCUAAUACCGAAUAGUUGUUUUCUUCUCCUGAAGAAAACUGGAAAGACGGAGCAAUCUGUCACUUGGGGAUGGGCCUGCGGCGCAUUAGCUAGUUGGUGGGGUAACGGCUCACCAAGGCGACGAUGCGUAGCCGACCUGAGAGGGUGAUCGGCCACACUGGGACUGAGACACGGCCCAGACUCCUACGGGAGGCAGCAGUAGGGAAUCUUCCGCAAUGGGCGAAAGCCUGACGGAGCAAUGCCGCGUGAGUGAUGAAGGUUUUCGGAUCGUAAAGCUCUGUUGCCAGGGAAGAACGCUUGGGAGAGUAACUGCUCUCAAGGUGACGGUACCUGAGAAGAAAGCCCCGGCUAACUACGUGCCAGCAGCCGCGGUAAUACGUAGGGGGCAAGCGUUGUCCGGAAUUAUUGGGCGUAAAGCGCGCGCAGGCGGUCAUUUAAGUCUGGUGUUUAAUCCCGGGGCUCAACCCCGGAUCGCACUGGAAACUGGGUGACUUGAGUGCAGAAGAGGAGAGUGGAAUUCCACGUGUAGCGGUGAAAUGCGUAGAUAUGUGGAGGAACACCAGUGGCGAAGGCGACUCUCUGGGCUGUAACUGACGCUGAGGCGCGAAAGCGUGGGGAGCAAACAGGAUUAGAUACCUGGUAGUC